GUUUUUGUAGCUUAUAUAUAAAGCAAAGGAUUUUUAAUC
Molecule: transfer RNA, 39 nt
Filed under: Ruditapes philippinarum (Manila clam)
Lineage: Eukaryota; Metazoa; Mollusca; Bivalvia; Venerida; Veneridae
Description: partial tRNA-Lys
Source: RNAcentral